Molecule: ribosomal RNA, 305 nt
Filed under: uncultured bacterium
Lineage: Bacteria
Description: bacterial SSU rRNA
Rfam family: Bacterial small subunit ribosomal RNA
Source: RNAcentral
CCCUACGGGGCGCAGCAGUGGGGGAUAUUGCACAAUGGGGGAAACCCUGAUGCAGCGACGCCGCGUGAGUGAAGAAGUAUUUCGGUAUGUAAAGCUCUAUCAGCAGGGAAGAAGAUGACAGUACCUGAGUAAGAAGCCCCGGCUAACUACGUGCCAGCAGCCGCGGUAAUACGUAGGGGGCAAGCGUUAUCCGGAUUUACUGGGUGUAAAGGGAGCGUAGACGGCGAUGCAAGUCUGAAGUGAAAGGCGGGGGCCCAACCCCCGGACUGCUUUGGAAACUGUAUAGCUGGAGGGCAGGGGAGGUA